AAUUGUGGAGUGAUUGAUUAAAACCCCAUUUGAUUUUGAUGAGCUCAAAGCAUUUGAGUAUAUCUUUUGAUUACUAAUGAAUUCAAUUGAGUGUUUCAGUGAAAAUCCUGUCUAAGUGUCCCAAGACUUGGUUCAUAAUUUUUGGAUAAGUUAAGGAGUCUGUUUGAACCAAUGUCUGAGACUCAAGUCGACUCCUGAGUAUCACGAGUCGACUCCAAGCGUAUCAAGUUCACUGGCACGAGCUCGAGUCGACUCCAGAUAAGUACGAGUCGACUCCGACUGAGAAUAGACAGAAGGACAGAAAGCUUCAACUCAGAACCUGUCAGCGAGUCGACUCCCGAAGUGCGCGAGUCGACUCCGAUGUUCACCGAGUCGACUCCAAGGAAGUAAGAGUCGACUCCAAGCAGUCACAGGCAGAAAAGUCAGAGAACAGUUUUCGGGUCUGAGAUUCGAGUCGACUCCAGUGGAACGCGAGUUGACUCCGAUAGGUGGCAAGUCGACUCCAAAGAAAGCAUGAANNNNNNNNNNNNNNNNNNNNUCGUAGUCAUGCGGUUGAGUUAUUUUGAGUCUCGGAUUUGGUUUACAGAUUAUUGUGUGGAUUUUUGGAUUUAUGUGUUUAGCUGCUUUUAUAUGCAUUAUGACAUGUUAUAUGAUGACUUUAUUGCAUGAUGUCGCCUACUGAGCUGUUAGCUCACUCCUAUCAUUUACAUUUUUGCAGGUGAUGAUAUAUGAUUAUGGGGAUUACGGAAUAGAGUGAUCAUGAUGUAAUUAGCUAGUAGAUAUGGACUUUCUUUUGACUUAUGUAUAUAUGGACAUUUGAAUUGAAAGUUGGAAUUUAUCUUUGUUUAGCUAUUGAUGUGGAAUCUGAUUCAUCUGCCUUGCGUGCCUGCGGGGUUCGCCCUGCAGGUGCGCGGCGUCUGCUCGCGCCCCGGGCCCCGGGUUCGGGGCGUGACAU
RNAcentral lists this long non-coding RNA (955 nucleotides) under Phoenix dactylifera (date palm). RNAcentral's name for it is "long non-coding RNA (PDAC_LNC006653)". Lineage: Eukaryota; Viridiplantae; Streptophyta; Magnoliopsida; Arecales; Arecaceae. The record is from RNAcentral.